CUACCACCCUAAGGAGUAGCUUAUCUAUGAGUCUAGGAAGGACAUGAACAUGCUAUUGUUUUCCCCAUGUUAUCUUCUGAAUUUCAACCCUUCCUCAAAGAGCAGAGGACUGGACAGUUAGGGCAAGGAGCAUGUGGUUACAAAGAGGUCAGUGGAGGUCAUUAUUUUAUCCAACUGAUACAGUCACUUUCAAAGUAUGAAGAUUCCCAUGGACUUCCCAGGGGCCAGUGCUCUCAAGGUCCCUCCUGGCUUCAGGCCCCUACUUUCCCUGAAUUACAAAGCCUCAGCACAUUUAUUGCUGUGUGUGGAUAAUUUGUGGGAAGCCCUAGGCUCUGGGAAGACAUGUCACAAACAUCUGGAAAUGCAUUGGCAGCUUUUUCUCUCCAGAAAUCCUUUGGUCAAGUCUGAAAUCAUGGCUCUCCUUUCUCUUAGGCUCUGUUCUCAGACUCCAAGGGCUGAGGUGGUCUUUACUGACGUUGCUGAUCCUGUGUCGCCAACCUCACCUUCUGUACCUGUGUUGCCAACUCAGAAUUAUAUUAUCAUGAUUUUUAAAAGCCAUGAAGCUAUAGGACCCAGACACAGCUGAUCAAACACAAUUACUGACUUGAAGAUUCAGAAAGUUCACUUUACUAAGUAUCUGCUAAAACCUCAAGUGACAACUUUGAAGAAAGUGUGCCUCAGACUUCUUCCUACAAGGGUGCUCACCUUAUGCAUAUGCGAAUACCUACCCUCAGAGGUAAGUCCUGCCAUGAGUCCAAAUUGCUAUAGUAAAUCAGCAGUUCAUUCCGUGUGGGCCCCGAGCAAGGCUUUGUACUAUUUGCUUUGAGUUGUUUGAAUAGGAUCACUUCCUCAGCCCCUGCAUGGCAAACUGGAAAGGGGGUUCAUGAUAUGAUAGUUUGCUGGCUUAAACCUCUUUCACUAUAAGUUCUAGACUUCAGACUCCGGAUGGAGUUGGGUGGGGCUGGGGUGUAGUUCAGCGGGAAAGCACUUGCUAGCGUCCUCAAGGACUUGGCUUUGGUCCUCGGCUUUGCAAACAGAGCCUGACACCAAAGGGACUUUGCAGAGAAGACACGGUGUAUUUACUAUAGAUUUUAGGCAUAGAUCUGAGAUAGGGCAAUGGAUGAAUACCAUAGGCAGUUGGACCAGAUAUAAGUCCAGGACAUGGUCUACAUGACAUCUCUUCAUAAAACAGUGUUUGCUUUUUUUUUCUCAAAGUCUAUACACCCUGACGUCACAUUUUAUUUUAAAAACAUCAGAUAGGAAUAGUAUGACAAGGAUGUUUGUUGGGUGAAGCACUCCACAGUGGUCCAAGCUCCACAGGGUCAACUGUAGCUCCCUCAUUCACUGUCUAAAGCAGUACCUGCCUUCUAAGAUCAAGCUGAGGGAAAAAGAAAUGGCUAGCUUCACAGUAUGACAAAGAUUUAUAAUACUUAUGCUUGAAAAAGAAAGCCUUAGUGUUUGGUUACAUAAAAGAAUUGAUCACUAUAAAGCCCCCUCUUCAGCCUUUUACUAGCCAAUUUAGUUAAUUGUCUGAAGAUUGAUAUCCCCAAAUAUAAAUUUAUAUAAGGGUGUAUUAGAAACACAAAUAUCCCUUGAAACAGAAUUAAGUCAGUAGUUGCAUAUAACAAAAGAAAAUGCAGAAGAAUUUAUUACAUCUUACAUUUCUUACCUUUUCUGUAUUUAUUUAUUUUAAAUGUUUAUUAUUUAUUCGUUUAGUGUAUAUGUGUGUUUGUGUGUGUGUGUGUGUGUGUUUAUCACACAUGAGUGUGUGUGCCAAGGCACAUUUGUGAGAGUCAGAGAACAGUUUGCGGAGUCAGUUUUUCCUUCCAUCCCUCAGGUCCUGGGGGUUGAACUCAGUUUGUUCAGUUUGGUGGUGAAUGUCUUUCACCCACAGCCAUUUUGUCAGACAGGGUCUCAUGUAGUCCAGGUUGGUCUUGUGGUUGCUAUGUGAAUAAAGAUGUCAUAGAAUUCCUGACUCCUCA
Molecule: long non-coding RNA, 1982 nt
Organism: Mus spicilegus (steppe mouse)
Lineage: Eukaryota; Metazoa; Chordata; Mammalia; Rodentia; Muridae
Source: Ensembl